AUCUUUGACGGGUUUCUCCACCCGGGCUAGGGAACGCGCUUCUUGUCGUCUCGUCACCUCCAUGUUGAAAUUUUUUUGAACCCUAAUUCCCAAUUUCAUAUAACCUAAACACGGGUUUGUGGUUUCCUUGAUUGUACUUUGUGUUUACAGUCUCUUUGUUUGCCUCUUAUGUUUGGUUUUGGGCGCGGGAAGAACCCCCUUUGUUUGGUUUUGGCUCCGACAAGAGAGCUUGCGCGUCAGGUUGAGAAGGAGUUCAGGGAAUUUGCUCCAAGCUUGGAUACUAUAUGUCUUUACGGAGGUACACCGAUGGGACAGCAAGUGCGGGAGCUCAACUAUGGUGUUGAUGUUGCUGUUGAGACUCCAUGUCGUAUCAUUGAUCUGAUGAAAAGGGGAGUUUGUGGUUCUUGAUGAAGCGGAUCAGAUGCUUCAGGUUGGAUUUGUGUAGGAUGCGGAAGUUAUAUUGGGAAGUUGCCUGAGAAACGUUAGAGCAUGAUGUUUUCUGCUAUAAUGCCGAGUUGGAUUAGAUCGCUAACCAAAAAGUACCUGAAUAAUUCUUUGACGAUUGAUCUCGCUCAUGGUAAAGGAGGAAAAUUCAUUGUUGUUCAGGUGGUUAUGGUGGUAGUGGUAGAUAUGGUGGUGAUCGUUUAGGAGGAUCAGACAACCAUUAUUCUGGCGGUUCAGACCGUUCUUCCAGUUACAGGGGCUUUGGUUCAGGAGGUUCGUUCAUCAGGUUUUGCAGGAUUUGGUUCAGGCCGUUCACAGUCAAGUGGAAAGAGCAGCUUUGGUGGUUUUGGAUUGAAAGAUCCUAACAGAUCUUACUGAGAAGUCUUGUGUGAGUUAUGAUCUGAGCCGGCAAUAAUGGAGGGCUUGGUGACUUGAGACUUUGAGUAGAGUUUAGUUAUAAGCUAUAUAUAAAUAUGUAGCUCCCUGCCAAAUAAAUAAACAUGUUUUAUUUUGAAGUUGUUGUCAUCACUAAUUUAUUUUUUACACUGGUAGAAGAAUUGUUCCUUUCUA
Brassica napus (rape) is the source of this 1014-nucleotide long non-coding RNA. RefSeq lists it as uncharacterized. The record is from RefSeq and is a predicted model, not a curated record. The transcript has 2 exons. Lineage: Eukaryota; Viridiplantae; Streptophyta; Magnoliopsida; Brassicales; Brassicaceae.